GCGCCGCUGCCGGCUGCUCCUAGGACACAGUCAAGGCCGACUGCAAAACUCAGGAGUUGGAGUAAUCUGACUUUGGGGUCCCCUCUUCUCUCCUGCAGGAGCUACUCUAGACCAGGGUUUCUCAACCUCGGCACUACCAACCUUCGGGCCUGGACGAUUCUUUGAGACAGUGUCACAUGUCCCCAGGAGGAGGUCGGGGGAGGAGACAGAAUCCCCUGGUUGCGAACCGCUGCUUGAGACCAAAAUGCUCAGCUAAGUAGGUAUAUAACUGAGAAGUGGAAUUGUGGGAUCAUAUUGUAAUUCUACAUUUAAUUUUUUGACGAACCACCAUAGUGAUUUCCGCUAUGGCUACACAGUUUAUACUCCCAUAAACAGUGCACAAGGGGGGCCUUCCCUGGUGGCGCAGUGGAUGAGACUCCGCACUCCCAAUGCAGGGGGCCCGGGUUCGAUCCCUGCAGGGAACUAGAUCCCACAUGCAUGCUGCAACUAAGAGUUUGCAUGUCACAACUAAGGAGCCCAUGUGCCGCAACUAAGGAGCUGGUGAGCUGCAUCUAAGGAGCCCACGAGCCGCAGUUAAGGAGCCCACCUGCUGCAACUAAGGAGCCCAUGUGCUGCAACUAAGGAGCCAGUGAGCAUCAACUAAGGAUCCCUGGAGCCACAACUAAGGAGCCCACCUGCUGCAACUAAGGAGCCCACGUGCUGCAACUAAGGAGCCGGUGAGCCGCAACUAAGGAGCCCUGGAGCUGCAACUAGGGAGCCCGCCUGCCACAACUAAGACCCGGCACAACCAAAUGAAUAAAAAUAAAUAAAUAAAUAUUUUUUAAAAAACAAAAACAGUGCACAAGGGUUCCAAUUUCUCUAUAUCCUUGCCCACAUGUGUUAUUUUGCAUUU
Non-coding RNA from Kogia breviceps (pygmy sperm whale), 892 nucleotides. The record is from RefSeq and is a predicted model, not a curated record. NCBI's taxonomy places the organism in Eukaryota, Metazoa, Chordata, Mammalia, Artiodactyla, Physeteridae.